RNAcentral lists this long non-coding RNA (5632 nucleotides) under Mytilus galloprovincialis (Mediterranean mussel). Lineage: Eukaryota; Metazoa; Mollusca; Bivalvia; Mytilida; Mytilidae. The record is from RNAcentral.
CAAACUCCCCGGCAGUUCCAGUUCCGAUCCGCAUACGGGCCCGAAUACUACUCUACACUAAUCACUGCCUUCGGCUUUUUUCGUUACGCGCUCUUCAAGCGGUUUGACCCGGAUUGACCUUUUGUUGCUACUGAAGCAAAUAUGGCUGAACAUUGAUGAAUGAGGAUAAUUGUUAUUAACUUUACCAGUAUAUAUGAAUAAAAACACUAACCGUAAGUAAAAUGCACUCAAUCCAAAUAAUUUUACAAAAUAAAAAUUUGCAAAUUUCUGUAUCGUUAGGUCGAAGAAUUCAAUUCUGGCAUGAAAACUCGAUCGACUUUGUUGCAUUAUGCCAUAUAAAAAAAUCUUCGUCAAUGAAGAAACAUAAAAUAUGAUCUUCUCGUCUGUGAAGUUGAAAGAACACUUAAACGCUAUAGCUUUUGAUAUUAAAUUGGACAUACUUUUAAUAAACUGGCACCCAAUCAUCAGCUAAUAAACUCGUUUGAAGAACAGAAUACAAUGUUGGGAGAGUGGCUAAAUUUUACCCGAGAAGCUGCUCCAUGUGGAAUUAAAGAUAUUUUACAAAAGACAAAUUUGGACUCUAUAGGGAUAAAUUUAGGAUUUCCUGGGAAAGGGGUGCAAAUAAUGCCAAAUUGACACAUGGCUUCAAAUACAUUAUUUAAACGAACUUCAGUAAGGGCUGUAUUACAUGUAUAUUAUAUUAAGACUCUGUUUACUUACCAAUCUCCGAAUUUCUCAAAACUCAAUUUAGAUUUCAUGGAUAAAAAAAAUAAAACAAUCAUAAAUUAUUAUAAUUGAAAAAUAAUAUAGGGUAACACACACAUUACUAAAUUUGUUAUGCAAUUUGCUUUUAUUAUAUAUAUGUCACCAUGGUCAUGUAUGUAUUAAUUUACAAUAUUCUGGAUGGGAGCAUUUCCAUUUCGAUAUUACUAUAUUUUAUUGAAUUAUUAUCCAGUCAAUUUAUAGUCUAUACAAUAUAAUAAUAAUUACCCCCCCCCCCCCCCAAAAAAAAAAAAAAAAAAAAGUAAAAUCUUUAUAAUUUUGGUCCAAUUAUUCUGUAUUCUAUUUACCCUUUAAGAACCACAUUUAGGCCAAAUAAAUAAAUAUGUGUGUUUCCUAUUUCCCUCUGUACUAAACCCUAUAUGUUUUAAGCUUGGAAAUAGCUGCCUACCUUAAAGUUUUUUUUUGUAAUUUUUCAAUAAGCACUGUUUAAGUCAGAAUAUCUCUCCCUUAGACUCAAUGUAAAAAAAAAAUGUUGAAUUACAUAAAUUCCCUACCUACCUACCAUUUAUUUUCAAAGAUGUAAUAGGAAACACACACAGUAUUUUAUUUGGCCUUAGCCCUUAUAUAUACAAUGUACAUGUACUCUUAAUAAACCUUUUAUUCCUGCAAUAAAAAACACUUUUGACUAUAAUUCUAAGACGCCAGUAAUCAAUUCUAAUGUUUUUAUUUUUAUCUUACAGAUGGUGACAAAAAAGAUAACAGCACAGUGUUAAGAUUGAAUCAGAAUGAAUAAAACAAAAAGAUUAUAAUAGGUAUUGGUUUUUUUUUUAAAUAUUUUUAUUUGCAUGGAUUAAUUACUUUAUCAAUUUAUAAAAAAAAUACUAUUUAAUUAUCCUGCCUUGCAUGGAAUAAAAUGACAACUUACAUUGUUCUAAAAAAAAAUGUUUGUAAAUAAUGAGUAAAAUUAAUGCUCAAUAACAAUGUUUAAAAUGUUAACAUGAAAACUGAUUUUGAUUUGAAGCCAUAUUUUAUGAAAUUGAUUAAUGUAGACAAAUCUUUUUUAUAGUUACAAAUGUAGGUGACACUUAAACACUCAAUAUCUUUCUUUAAUUAGUAUAGUAGGAUGAUACAGAUUGAUGCCUGUGAAAGAAUUAUAAAAAAGGUUGCAUUCAGUUUUUUAUUGUCAAUAAUACUUCCCUCCCCCUAUUUUUCAAACUUUUUAUAUGUUAAAUAAUGCAGGUCCUUGCAUUUCAACAAUUUAUUUUUAGUUAUACUCAUUUUAUUAUUUCAUUAUUACUUUCAGCUCCCUCAACCAGAAGAACUAUGAACACAGUUAUUGAUUUCUAUGUUUCCUUGGAGAUUUUAACAGUUAUUGUUAAAACUUGAAAUCUAACAGAAUGAAAAUUUGAGAAAAUUUACAUAUACAGUGUACAUGUACAUGUAGCUUCAAUAUAAAUCAACUGAUACACCGUAAGUAUGUCUUCUAUAUAUGAAAGUUAUAAAUUGGUUUGUUUACAAAAUUUAUUUUUUACUAGAUAUAUUUGAGUAAAUACCGGACCAAAUUAUAUAUUAAAGCAAAUACUCACAAACGUUUUUUUUUUUUAAAUUACUAAUAUUUCCUAUAUGGUGAUAUAAAUUAUAUGAUCAAAUUGUGGAUACAACUACAUGGUUUAUGCUAUAAACUGUGAAUAUAAAAAAAGAGUAUGUUGUAUGAUUGCCAAUGAGAAAACUCUUCCAACAAGAGACCAAAUGACAGAAGUUAACAACUGUAGCCUAUAGUAGGUCAUAGUACAGUCUUAAACAAUGAGUAAAGCCCAUACCACUCAGAGAGCUAUAAAAUACACUGAAAUGACAAAUGUGAAACAAUUAAAACUAGAAAUUUGGCCUAAUUUAUCAUACAUGUAUGUACAAAAUAAUGAACGAAAAACAAAUAUGUGACACAUCAAACAACAACCACUGAAUUAAAGGCUCCUGAUUUGGGACAGACACAGACAUACAUAAUGUAUCGGGUUAAACAUGUUCGCUGGGACCCAACCCUCCCCUUACCUGGGACAGUGGUGUAAGAGUACAAAAUAAAAACAAACUAUAAAAAUUCAGUUGAAAAAGACUUAAAUCUUAACUCAUCAUGAGAUGGAUACAAGUAGAAAUAAAUAAAACCAAGAAAAAGGGGGCAUGGUCAGGUACUAUUACAUACAAACAACUGAAAGACACUUAGUAUAGAUCUAGAUUAUUUACUCUAAGCACACUCAAGCUUAAUAGGAGAUGUGAAAAAUACCCUAAAUCUGAUAGGUCCUGCAACUUUUGAAAGAGACUCCAAAAAAUUACUUAUAAAGGGAACUCAAUCUAAAUUUUGUGUUAAAAUUUCAUGAGAAAUUGUUCAAAGCAAAGGAGAAGGGCAUUAAAGGACUAUUUUUUGUCCAAGAAUAUAAACUAUUCCAAAAAGCCCCAUUAUGUUUGGAAUUGCAUAAAUUUAAGAAACAUGAAUUAAAAACAUAAUAUUUUUUAUACGACCGCAAAAAUUAAAAAAUUUUUGGUCGUAUAUUGGUAUCACGUUGGCGUCGUCGUCGUCGUCGUCGUCGUCCGAAUACUUUUAGUUUUCGCACUCUAACUUUAGUAAAAGUGAAUAGAAAUCUAUGAAAUUUUAACACAAGGUUUAUGAUCACAAAAGGAAGGUUGGGAUUGAUUUUGGGAGUUUUGGUCCCAACAUUUUAGGAAUUAGGGGCCAAAAAGGGCCCAAAUAAGCAUUUUCUUGGUUUUCGCACUAUAACUUUAGUUUAAGUAAAUAGAAAUCUAUGAAAUUUUGACACAAGGUUUAUGACCACAAAAGGAAGGUUGGGAUUGAUUUUGGGAGUUUUGGUUCCAACAGUUUAGGAAUUAGGGGCCAAAAAAGAGCCCAAAUAAGCAUUAUUCUUGGUUUUCGCACAAUAACUUUAGUAUAAGUAAAUAGAAAUCUAUGAAAUUUAAACACAAGGUUUAUGACCAUAAAAGGAAGGUUGGGUUUGAUUUUGGGAGUUUUGGUCCCAACAGUUUAGGAAUAAGGGGCCCAAAGGGUUCAAAAUUAAACUUUGUUUGAUUUCAUCAAAAAUUGAAUAAUUGGGGUUCUUUGAUAUGCCGAAUCUAACUGUGUAUGUAGAUUCUUAAUUUUUGGUCCCGUUUUCAAAUUGGUCUACAUUAAGGUCCAAAGGGUCCAAAAUUAAACUUAGUUUGAUUUAACAAAAAUUGAAUCCUUGGGGUUCUUUGAUAUGCUGAAUCUAAAAAUGUACAGUAUUCAGCAAUAGCAAGAAAUCUUCAAUUGCACAGUAUUGUGCAAUAGCAAGAAAUUUUUCAAUUGCACAGUAUUGCGCAAUAGCAAGAAAUCUUCAAUUGCACAGUAUUGUGCAAUAGCAAAUAUUUUCAAUUGCACAAUUAGCAAAGAAAUAUCUAAUUGCAAUUUCAAUUGGAGUUAUCUUUCUUUGUCCAGAAUAGUAGUUGAAUCAACUUAAAUCAUUGUUUUAUACAAUAUAUAUAAUUGAUAUUUCAAUUGGAGUUAUCUUUCUUUGUCCAGAAUAGUAGUUGAAUCAACUUAAAUCAUUGUUUUAUACAAUAUACAAUGUAUAUUCACUUUUACUACCAACUGAUAAAUUAAAACAAUCUUUACCAUUCAGUGAUAACAAGCACUUUAUUUUACAUUUUAAUAUUUUUAUGAUGUAUUUAAAUGAGUAGUUAUUGUUGCAAACUCCAUUAUUAGAAAUUUGAAUUGAGAUCAGUUUUGGAAAAAGGGAAAGGGGGAUGUGAAAAAAAAAAUGGGGGGGGGGGGGGGGGGUUAAAUUUUUCUCAUUUCAGAUUUCAUAAAUAAAAAGAAAAUUUCUUCAAACAUUUUUUUGAGAGGAUUAAUAUUCAACAGCAUAGUGAAUUGCUCAAAGGCAAAAAAAAUAUUUUAAGUUCAUUAGACCACAUUCAUUCUGUGUCAGAAACCUAUGCUGUGUCAACUAUCUAAUCACAAUCCAAAUUUAGAGCUGAAUCCAGCUUGAAUGUUGUGUCCAUACUUGCCCCAACCGUUCAGGGUUCAACCUCUGCGGUCGUAUAAAGCUGCGCCCUGCGGAGCAUCUGGUUGUCUGAUAAGGUCACAAUUACAUCAUGAAGACGAGGACAAAUAUAGAAUUUAUGCAGUUUCCAAAACAACAAAAUAAUUUAAGAAAACCUUUAUUAUAACUAUUGACAUAAUCUCACUAAAUAUAAUUUUUUUUCUUGGAUGGGCACAUUACAGUCUAAAAUAUAAUUUUAUUUGACAAAAAACAAAGAAAAUUAAGAAAUUUUACAAAUUUGGUCUAAGUUUAUUGCCAUGGUAACUCUUUAGUUGUAAAAAAAAACCCAUUAUUUUCUGAAUAUGGUGUACCUUAGUCUAGUUUGGACAAAUUUUGAAAUAUUUAGGAUAACUGUUAAAUUAGCAGUAAUAUCUGGGCCAAAUAAAAACCUUUUUUAGUUAGCCCCUACUACUUUGAGAUAUUGAACAAAGUGUUGCCAUAAUGAUUUUAAAGGAUGGAUGGACAAACAAUGGCAUACCAUAUACAUCCCUUACCUACCAGAAGUUACAAAGUUAUAAAAAAAAUGUUUAUAUAUUUUCAGAUCACAAUUAUGUCAACCUAAUCAUUGGAAGUUUAUCAAGUUACAUGAGAAGCAUUGAAAGCCUGCAGAGAUUCUACAUGUAUAAAUAAAUGGAAUAGACUCACACUUAAAAAUAACUUUUACACAAGACUAAUGCACUCUCAAACAAGGAUUAUUCAUGUUUCAAUGAGUGAAUUGAAGUGCAUACUAGCUGCUCAUGAAAAUUUGUGUGCAUUUUUUAAAUAUUUAUUUUCGUUUUAUUGAUUGUUGUUUUCAAAAAUUUGUAUGUCUUCAUAAAUUAAUCAUGAACAUACAUGUAUUGUUG